Non-coding RNA from Podarcis lilfordi (Lilford's wall lizard), 64 nucleotides. NCBI's taxonomy places the organism in Eukaryota, Metazoa, Chordata, Lepidosauria, Squamata, Lacertidae. The record is from the annotation of a GenBank genome assembly.
GCCUGGGGGGUGGUUCAGUUGGUAGAGCAUCCUAGGGUCAUGGGUUUGAGCCCCACAUUGGGCA